Molecule: small RNA, 800 nt
Filed under: Pongo abelii (Sumatran orangutan)
Lineage: Eukaryota; Metazoa; Chordata; Mammalia; Primates; Hominidae
Description: processed transcript
Source: RNAcentral
GGCAGCAGCGGCUGGAUGCCGAGCGCCGGAGCUGGGAGCUCGCUCGUCCAGCCCCGCGCCAAUGGUGGCAAGGGCGGCCGAGGCUGGCGCUGAGGCUCCCCAAGCCUUAUUGGCUUGCGGCUGUUCAGCCAGCCCUCUGGCUGCCAGGGUGUGCAGAGGUCCCCAGGGAGUUAGGGCCUGAGGUUCAGCUCAGAGGGAGAGACGAAGCCCAAAUCCCCGACUACUAACUAUUCCAGAGGCAGCAACCAUCUUACUGGCGUCCCUUCAGAAAUCACCAGAAGAUGAAGAAAAAAACUUUGAUCAAACCAGAUUCCUGGAAGACAGUCUGCUUAACUGCUUUUGUCAGUCUUGGGGAAAAGGCUGAAGAAAUGACUAGAGUGGAGGGAUGGAGUCACCUGGCAGCAGCUGUCUGAAUAGGGGAACAAGUACAGGAUAGAAGGUGAUUCCUACACACACUGUCAAAGCCAGCCUCCUCUUCCUCAUCAUAUCUCUCAUCCUCCACUUCAUCUUCCACAUCACUGCUCUGAGGACUGGAGGCCUGAGACCCUGAAGGAGAAGGUGGUACUGAGGAAGGCCUGGGAUAUUUAAAUCCUUCUGUCUGCCAAAGACAAAAAUAAGACAUAAACAUCAUAACACUUUCUUGGUUUCCAAUGAUGUAAAUACUAUGCAUGCACUAUCAAUUUUUUAAGUAGUUAUCUAUCUUUUGUAGUCUGGGUGCUAGUAAACUUUGAUUGAUUUUGAUUUUGAUACCACCAGUCUCAAGAGGGAUUCAUUCAAUAUAUAACCAUUCUUUAUUAAGU